UCAAUAAGCGGAGGAAAAGAAACCAACAGGGAUUGCCUCAGUAACGGCGAGUGAAGCGGCAACAGCUCAAAUUUGAAAUCUGGCUCCUUCGGGGUCCGAGUUGUAAUUUGCAGAGGAUGCGUCGGGUACGGGUCCCUACCGAGUUCCCUGGAACGGGACGCCAUAGAGGGUGAGAGCCCCGUCUGGUAGGAUACCCAGCCCAUGUGACGCUCCCUCGACGAGUCGAGUAGUUUGGGAAUGCUGCUCUAACGGGAGGUAUACUCCUUCCAAAGCUAAAUACCGGCUGGAGACCGAUAGCGCACAAGUAGAGUGAUCGAAAGAUGAAAAGCACUUUGAAAAGAGAGUCAAACAGCACGUGAAAUUGUUAAAAGGGAAGCACUCGCUACCAGACUUGGGUUUGGCGGUUCAACCGGGGCCACGCCCCGGGGCAUUCCGCCAGCUCAGGCCAGCAUCAGCUUUCCGUCGGGGGCAAAGACGUCGGGAAUGUGGCUCCCCCUCGGGGGAGUGUUAUAGCCCGGCGUGUCAUACCCUUCGGGGGGCUGAGGUACGCGCUUCUGCAAGGAUGC
This 566-nucleotide ribosomal RNA is filed under the name Plectosphaerella sp. CCF3811. RNAcentral's name for it is "eukaryotic LSU rRNA". It matches the Rfam family "Eukaryotic large subunit ribosomal RNA", at positions 43 to 626 of the family's 3401-position model. Lineage: Eukaryota; Fungi; Ascomycota; Sordariomycetes; Glomerellales; Plectosphaerellaceae. The record is from RNAcentral.